RNAcentral lists this transfer RNA (85 nucleotides) under Felis catus (domestic cat). It matches the Rfam family "tRNA". From Rfam's summary of the family: Transfer RNA (tRNA) molecules are approximately 80 nucleotides in length. The record is from Rfam by way of RNAcentral. Lineage: Eukaryota; Metazoa; Chordata; Mammalia; Carnivora; Felidae.
GCCUGUGUGGCUCAGUCGGUUGAGCAUCUGACUUCAGCUCAAGUCAUGAUCUCACAGUUUGUGGGUUCAAGCCCCACGUCAGGCU